Molecule: ribosomal RNA, 286 nt
Filed under: uncultured bacterium
Lineage: Bacteria
Description: partial 16S ribosomal RNA
Rfam family: Bacterial small subunit ribosomal RNA
Source: RNAcentral
GAUGAACGCUAGCGGCAGGCCUAAUACAUGCAAGUCAAGGGGCCCCGAGCAAUCGGGGCACCGGCGGACGGGUGCGUAACGCGUACACAACGUGCCCAAGGGCGGGGGAAAGCGGCGGGAAACUGCCGGUAAUACCCCACUGGUGUUGGAGGGGUGGCAUCACUUUUCAACUAAAGUACAAGCGCCCUUGGAUCGGUGUGCGUCCGAUUAGCUAGUUGGCGGGGUAACGGCCCACCAAGGCUCCGAUCGGAGGGGGUGUGAGAGCAUGGCCCCCCACACGGGUACU